RNAcentral lists this ribosomal RNA (2894 nucleotides) under Escherichia coli 08BKT77219. RNAcentral describes it as "bacterial LSU rRNA". It matches the Rfam family "Bacterial large subunit ribosomal RNA". The record is from RNAcentral. Lineage: Bacteria; Pseudomonadati; Pseudomonadota; Gammaproteobacteria; Enterobacterales; Enterobacteriaceae.
ACUAAGCGUACACGGUGGAUGCCCUGGCAGUCAGAGGCGAUGAAGGACGUGCUAAUCUGCGAUAAGCGUCGGUAAGGUGAUAUGAACCGUUAUAACCGGCGAUUUCCGAAUGGGGAAACCCAGUGUGAUUCGUCACACUAUCAUUAACUGAAUCCAUAGGUUAAUGAGGCGAACCGGGGGAACUGAAACAUCUAAGUACCCCGAGGAAAAGAAAUCAACCGAGAUUCCCCCAGUAGCGGCGAGCGAACGGGGAGGAGCCCAGAGCCUGAAUCAGUGUGUGUGUUAGUGGAAGCGUCUGGAAAGGCGCGCGAUACAGGGUGACAGCCCCGUACACAAAAAUGCACAUGCUGUGAGCUCGAUGAGUAGGGCGGGACACGUGGUAUCCUGUCUGAAUAUGGGGGGACCAUCCUCCAAGGCUAAAUACUCCUGACUGACCGAUAGUGAACCAGUACCGUGAGGGAAAGGCGAAAAGAACCCCGGCGAGGGGAGUGAAAAAGAACCUGAAACCGUGUACGUACAAGCAGUGGGAGCACAGAGCAAUCUGUGUGACUGCGUACCUUUUGUAUAAUGGGUCAGCGACUUAUAUUCUGUAGCAAGGUUAACCGAAUAGGGGAGCCGAAGGGAAACCGAGUCUUAACCGGGCGUUAAGUUGCAGGGUAUAGACCCGAAACCCGGUGAUCUAGCCAUGGGCAGGUUGAAGGUUGGGUAACACUAACUGGAGGACCGAACCGACUAAUGUUGAAAAAUUAGCGGAUGACUUGUGGCUGGGGGUGAAAGGCCAAUCAAACCGGGAGAUAGCUGGUUCUCCCCGAAAGCUAUUUAGGUAGCGCCUCGUGAAUUCAUCUCCGGGGGUAGAGCACUGUUUCGGCAAGGGGGUCAUCCCGACUUACCAACCCGAUGCAAACUGCGAAUACCGGAGAAUGUUAUCACGGGAGACACACGGCGGGUGCUAACGUCCGUCGUGAAGAGGGAAACAACCCAGACCGCCAGCUAAGGUCCCAAAGUCAUGGUUAAGUGGGAAACGAUGUGGGAAGGCCCAGACAGCCAGGAUGUUGGCUUAGAAGCAGCCAUCAUUUAAAGAAAGCGUAAUAGCUCACUGGUCGAGUCGGCCUGCGCGGAAGAUGUAACGGGGCUAAACCAUGCACCGAAGCUGCGGCAGCGACACUGUGUGUUGUUGGGUAGGGGAGCGUUCUGUAAGCCUGUGAAGGUGUACUGUGAGGUAUGCUGGAGGUAUCAGAAGUGCGAAUGCUGACAUAAGUAACGAUAAAGCGGGUGAAAAGCCCGCUCGCCGGAAGACCAAGGGUUCCUGUCCAACGUUAAUCGGGGCAGGGUGAGUCGACCCCUAAGGCGAGGCCGAAAGGCGUAGUCGAUGGGAAACAGGUUAAUAUUCCUGUACUUGGUGUUACUGCGAAGGGGGGACGGAGAAGGCUAUGUUGGCCGGGCGACGGUUGUCCCGGUUUAAGCGUGUAGGCUGGUUUUCCAGGCAAAUCCGGAAAAUCAAGGCUGAGGCGUGAUGACGAGGCACUACGGUGCUGAAGCAACAAAUGCCCUGCUUCCAGGAAAAGCCUCUAAGCAUCAGGUAACAUCAAAUCGUACCCCAAACCGACACAGGUGGUCAGGUAGAGAAUACCAAGGCGCUUGAGAGAACUCGGGUGAAGGAACUAGGCAAAAUGGUGCCGUAACUUCGGGAGAAGGCACGCUGAUAUGUAGGUGAAGUCCCUCGCGGAUGGAGCUGAAAUCAGUCGAAGAUACCAGCUGGCUGCAACUGUUUAUUAAAAACACAGCACUGUGCAAACACGAAAGUGGACGUAUACGGUGUGACGCCUGCCCGGUGCCGGAAGGUUAAUUGAUGGGGUCAGCGCAAGCGAAGCUCUUGAUCGAAGCCCCGGUAAACGGCGGCCGUAACUAUAACGGUCCUAAGGUAGCGAAAUUCCUUGUCGGGUAAGUUCCGACCUGCACGAAUGGCGUAAUGAUGGCCAGGCUGUCUCCACCCGAGACUCAGUGAAAUUGAACUCGCUGUGAAGAUGCAGUGUACCCGCGGCAAGACGGAAAGACCCCGUGAACCUUUACUAUAGCUUGACACUGAACAUUGAGCCUUGAUGUGUAGGAUAGGUGGGAGGCUUUGAAGUGUGGACGCCAGUCUGCAUGGAGCCGACCUUGAAAUACCACCCUUUAAUGUUUGAUGUUCUAACGUGGACCCGUGAUCCGGGUUGCGGACAGUGUCUGGUGGGUAGUUUGACUGGGGCGGUCUCCUCCUAAAGAGUAACGGAGGAGCACGAAGGUUGGCUAAUCCUGGUCGGACAUCAGGAGGUUAGUGCAAUGGCAUAAGCCAGCUUGACUGCGAGCGUGACGGCGCGAGCAGGUGCGAAAGCAGGUCAUAGUGAUCCGGUGGUUCUGAAUGGAAGGGCCAUCGCUCAACGGAUAAAAGGUACUCCGGGGAUAACAGGCUGAUACCGCCCAAGAGUUCAUAUCGACGGCGGUGUUUGGCACCUCGAUGUCGGCUCAUCACAUCCUGGGGCUGAAGUAGGUCCCAAGGGUAUGGCUGUUCGCCAUUUAAAGUGGUACGCGAGCUGGGUUUAGAACGUCGUGAGACAGUUCGGUCCCUAUCUGCCGUGGGCGCUGGAGAACUGAGGGGGGCUGCUCCUAGUACGAGAGGACCGGAGUGGACGCAUCACUGGUGUUCGGGUUGUCAUGCCAAUGGCACUGCCCGGUAGCUAAAUGCGGAAGAGAUAAGUGCUGAAAGCAUCUAAGCACGAAACUUGCCCCGAGAUGAGUUCUCCCUGACCCUUUAAGGGUCCUGAAGGAACGUUGAAGACGACGACGUUGAUAGGCCGGGUGUGUAAGCGCAGCGAUGCGUUGAGCUAACCGGUACUAAUGAACCGUGAGGCUUAACC